GGAGAGCUGUUCACCAGACUCCUGCAGCCUGUGCUCACUCUCUGAGUUGUUGAGAAAAGGGGAGCUCUCCUAAGCAAACCUUUUCUCAUUCCCAAACCUAAUGACUCAAGAGAGAAUGCCCACAACAACCAUGACAACAACAAUGGCCACAUUUUACUAAGGAUUCAUCAUGUACCAGAUAAAAGAAUGUAAGAUUAAAAAGACAUAUAUGCUGUCAGUGCUGCUGCCACCCUCUACUCUGCACAUGGGAUGGGGAAUUCAUUAAGAAGAGGAGCUGAAGUUCCGAGCUGUCAGUGGAGCCCCGGGAAGCUACUGAGAAUCACACCUGAUCCCCGUAGGGUGCUGAACUCAUCACAUCACACUUAGAUGACAGGGACGCUGCGCCUGCUUGGCAGGCAGUACUCUGGCCAACAGAUUUAUUUUUGUCAAAAGACCAAGCUACAGUGAUGAGAAGAAGUCUGAUGUCGAGAAACGUGUCUUAAGUGAAAGGUUCCAGAUAUAUUUGUUUUGGCCUGAGGAUGGCACUCUCUUCUCCUCAUCCAGCUGACUGAUAAUCAUGUGGGGUUCUUCCUCUUCCUCCUUUCUGCCCUGUGAUGUCAGGGAUGCAAACUGAAACCAGGCUCUCAAUGGAUUGGAUAAUGUCCAUUGCAUUGGUGAGGGCGAGCUUUACUCUGUACCAAAUCAAAUGCUAAUCUCCUAAGGCAACAUCCUCACAGACACUCCCUGAAAUGUUUUGCCAGCAACACAGAACAUCCCUGAUCCCAGUCAAGUUGCAUAUAAAACUAACAGUUACUAAUAACUGCAAUUGAAGAAGAACGCUCCGUAUCCUCUUUGCCAGUUGGUGUUUAUCUGAGACAGCGGAGAAAAAGGGACAGAGUGCCUGUGUAUGUGUGUUAAUCAGGCGUUAUCAGCACCCUGCCCCAAAAGGAAGUGUUAAAAUAAUGUUUUUGACAUUCAGACUUUUUUCAAAUUUGAUGUAACCUGAGAGUUGGCAAACAAAGGCUCACAGGUGAAAUCUGACCUGUUGCUGGUCUUUGUAAAUAAAGUUUUAUUGUA
Long non-coding RNA from Talpa occidentalis (Iberian mole), 1056 nucleotides. RefSeq lists it as uncharacterized. The record is from RefSeq and is a predicted model, not a curated record. The transcript is spliced from 6 exons. NCBI's taxonomy places the organism in Eukaryota, Metazoa, Chordata, Mammalia, Eulipotyphla, Talpidae.